RNAcentral lists this ribosomal RNA (403 nucleotides) under Verrucomicrobiota bacterium. RNAcentral's name for it is "Verrucomicrobia bacterium partial 16S ribosomal RNA". It matches the Rfam family "Bacterial small subunit ribosomal RNA", at positions 355 to 776 of the family's 1533-position model. The record is from RNAcentral. Lineage: Bacteria; Pseudomonadati; Verrucomicrobiota.
UGGGGAAUAUUGCACAAUGGGCGCAAGCCUGAUGCAGCAACGCCGCGUGAACGAUGAAGGUCUUCGGAUCGUAAAGUUCUGUUGCAGGGGAAGAUAAUGACGGUACCCUGUGAGGAAGCCCCGGCUAACUACGUGCCAGCAGCCGCGGUAAUACGUAGGGGGCUAGCGUUAUCCGGAUUUACUGGGCGUAAAGGGUGCGUAGGUGGUCUUCCAAGUCGGUGGUUAAAGGCUACGGCUCAACCGUAGUUAGCCUCCGAAACUGGAAGACUUGAGUGCAGGAGAGGAAAGUGGAAUUCCCAGUGUAGCGGUGAAAUGCGUAGAUAUUGGGAGGAACACCAGUAGCGAAGGCGGCUUUCUGGACUGCAACUGACACUGAGGCACGAAAGCGUGGGUAGCAAACAGG